GAUCUGGCUCAGAUUGAACGCUGGCGGCAUGCUUUACACAUGCAAGUCGAACGGUAACAGGGAGCUUGCUCCGCUGACGAGUGGCGAACGGGUGAGUAAUAUAUCGGAACGUACCCAGAAGUGGGGGAUAACGUAGCGAAAGUUACGCUAAUACCGCAUACGAUCCACGGAUGAAAGUAGGGGACCUUCGGGCCUUAUGCUUUUGGAGCGGCCGAUAUCUGAUUAGCUAGUUGGUGAGGUAAAGGCU
This 247-nucleotide ribosomal RNA is filed under the name uncultured bacterium. RNAcentral's name for it is "partial 16S ribosomal RNA". It matches the Rfam family "Bacterial small subunit ribosomal RNA", at positions 15 to 265 of the family's 1533-position model. The record is from RNAcentral.